Molecule: ribosomal RNA, 478 nt
Filed under: Streptococcus vestibularis
Lineage: Bacteria; Bacillati; Bacillota; Bacilli; Lactobacillales; Streptococcaceae
Description: bacterial SSU rRNA
Rfam family: Bacterial small subunit ribosomal RNA
Source: RNAcentral
GCAUGGUUGUCGUCAGCUCGUGUCGUGAGAUGUUGGGUUAAGUCCCGCAACGAGCGCAACCCUUGUCGCUAGUUACUAACAUUCAGUUGAGGACUCUAGCGAGACUGCCGAGGUCAACUCGGAGGAAGGUGGGGAUGACGUCAAAUCAUCAUGCCCCUUAUGUUCUGGGCUACACACGUGCUACAAUGGUCGGUACAAUGAGAGGCAAUACUGUGAAGUGGAGCAAAUCACCAAAACCGAUCCCAGUUCGGAUUGUAGGCUGCAACUCGCCUACAUGAAGUUGGAGUUGCUAGUAAUCGCAGAUCAGAAUGCUGCGGUGAAUGCGUUCCCGGGUCUUGUACACACCGCCCGUCACACCAUGGAAGUUGGGGGUGCCCAAAGUCGGUUAAUUAAUCUAUCGCCUAAGGCAAAACCAAUGACUGGGGUGAAGUCGUAACAAGGUAGCCGUUCGAGAACGAGCGGCUGGAUCACCUCCUUU